Molecule: long non-coding RNA, 1362 nt
Organism: Oncorhynchus tshawytscha (Chinook salmon)
Lineage: Eukaryota; Metazoa; Chordata; Actinopteri; Salmoniformes; Salmonidae
Exons: 3
Source: RefSeq, a predicted model, not a curated record
UCCAUCAUCGUAUGGUUGUUUGUGUGCAAAUGAACUCAAGCUUACGGACCAUGUCAAAUGUGAUAUAGGGAAGCACCUGCGUGAGCUGGGUGCGCAAUUAUGCAGGCUGUGGCUCGAGUGGUUAAUGCCCUUGAUUUAUAUUUUUGGCCUUCCUGUGACAUCGGGUGCUAUAGGUGUCCCCAGUGGUGCGUUGGGAAGACCGCACCACCGUCUGGAGAGCCCUGCAGUUGCAGGCGGUGCAGUUGCCGUACCAGGCGGUGAUACAGCCCGACAGGAUGCUCUCAAUUGUGCACCUGUAAAAGUUUGAGAGGGUUAUAAGGGGCCAAGCCAAAUUUCUUCAGCCUCCUGAGGUUGAAGAGGUGCAGUUGUGCCUUCAUCACCACACUGCAAACCAUGGAGCCAUUUUGUAUUCUACAUGAGUCAAAUGUAAUGGAGUCUGUUGCCCAUGUUGUGAAUGGUUGCUGUUUAUACAAGGAUUUCAAUUUUUACAAUCUUUUGAGCAUGGAUUAAAUUAAUUAUAUUAUUUUUGCAUUUCAGCCUCUGGGUUAUUCCUUUUCAUGGUUUUGAGUCUCCAAACAGGUGAUGGUGGAACAGGUCACGGGUUCAGCCAACAACAUAUCAGAUGCCAUUAUUCUACUGACCGAGACCAUGGUGGAGCGACACGAGGUGAGACCUGUUACAGAAAUCAGGUUCUUUUUCAGUCCAGGUUAUACCUGGACACCUUUGGAUGUUGAUGCCAUUAAGAUGCACACACACAUUAACGUUCCUGUUUAAGGUCGUUGUACAUGAGCAAAAACACACAUAAGAUGUGAUCAUUUCAUACAAAAUACUUUAUAAAAAUCGGGAAGGCAUGACGUGUUAUUUUACCUCACCCACGGGUGGGCGGAGCUCGUGGUGGUGGAGAAUCGCCACCCCAGGUACCACCUCCACGUCUCAUGACUGUAGUGACAGCUUCAUCGUGGUGUUGACCCGCGGGUGCCUCGACUAUCGACAGCAUCCCUCCGCUUUAUAGACAGGUGUUGAUGGUUCUGUCUCAGUUGGAGGGCAACGCUGGUUUCUCCAUCUCACAGAUUGGCCCACAGGAAGGCAGUCCACGCCUUGCUGGGCAUGGACACCACACAGCAGGCCUCCAUUGGCCUCGUCCACUUUGCCCAAGGACUCUACCUCCUACACCAGGGCUGUUAAAUUAUUUUCAUGGACGGCCAAAACACUUCUAGUGUGUUUCCUUUCCUUCUAAGUGUUUCGGUCCUCCAUGUCCGGAAUUGAAUAGCCCUGCCAUACACCAUCAUCACAGUUGUGCACCGGGGCCUCCCACUCCUCUUUCUAUUCUGGUUAGAGCCAGUGUGUGCUGUUCUAUGAAGG